CCUGGUCAUAUAGGACCGUCAUCAACAGUGUUUCCUCUAUGAUGCUGAGAAUUCAGCCCAUAUAGGGAAGAAAGAACACCCCCGCUUUCAGAUGUUCAAAUGUGACGUUGGUGCUUAUUUGGUAAGGGAACUAGAGAGUUAACGCUAGGGGCUGCUCUGAUUGGAUUACGGGAGGGUUUAGCGAGUGAGUGAGAGGAGAAGCAGAGGAAACGAUCGUGGUGACAGUUGCUAUCAAGUAAAGACAGUAAAACACGUAACGUGCAGCAGCGAGAGUUUACCGAGGACCUGAGCCCUAGGACCAUGCCCCAGGACUACCUGACAUGAUGACUCCUUGCUGUCCCCAGUCCACCUGGCCAUGCUGCUGCUCCAGUUUCAACUGGCCUGGGCCCUAGGACCAUGUCCCAGGACUACCUGACAUGAUGACUCCUUGCUGUCCCCAGUCCACCUGGCCAUGCUGCUGCUCCUGUUUCAACUGUUCUGCCUUAUUAUUAUUCGACCAUGCUGGUCAUUUAUGAACAUUUGAACAUCUUGGCCAUGUUCUGUUAUAAUCUCCACCCGGCACAGCCAGAAGAGGACUGGCCACCCCACAUAGCCUGGUUCCUCUCUAGGUUUCUUCCUAGGUUUUGGCCUUUCUAGGGAGUUUUUCCUAGCCACCGUGCUUUUACACCUGCAUUGCUUGCUGUUUGGGGUUUUAGAGCGGGUUUCUGUACAGCACUUUGAGAUAUCAGCUGAUGUACAAAGGGCUAUAUAAAUACAUUUGAUUUGAUUUGAUUUUAAUUUUAAUUAGUUAUUUUCACCUCCUAUGAGCAGGUUUCCUGCUGCAGUGCCAGGGUGUCCAGGAUAACAUAAGUGGAAAUCCUACAAAAUAUUGUCAUUCAUGUGUGCAAGUAUCUCCAGUAGGCCUAUUCACUGGAACCACAAACAAGGGAAGACUGUCUGAAGGGCAUCAAAUUCUCUGAUCUUACAUUAAACCAUUUGUGAACCACGA
This is a long non-coding RNA of Oncorhynchus nerka (sockeye salmon), 988 nucleotides long. RefSeq lists it as uncharacterized. NCBI's taxonomy places the organism in Eukaryota, Metazoa, Chordata, Actinopteri, Salmoniformes, Salmonidae. The record is from RefSeq and is a predicted model, not a curated record. The transcript has 2 exons.